CAGACUUGACAUCCUGUGAACCUCUUAGAAAUAAGAGGGUGCCUUCGGGAGCACAGAGACAGGUGCUGCAUGGCUGUCGUCAGCUCGUGUCGUGAGAUGUUCGGUUAAGUCCGGCAACGAGCGCAACCCUUGUCUUCAGUUGCCAGCACGUAAAGGUGGGAACUCUGAAGAGACUGCCCCGGUUAACGGGGAGGAAGGUGGGGAUGACGUCAAGUCCUCAUGGCCCUUAUGUCUGGGGCUACACACGUGCUACAAUGGUAUGUACAAAGGGUCGCAAUACCGCGAGGUGGAGCUAAUCCCAGAAAACCAUCCUCAGUUCGGAUUGCAGUCUGCAACUCGACUGCAUGAAGCCGGAAUCGCUAGUAAUCGUGGAUCAGCACGCCACGGUGAAUACGUUCCCGGGCCU
RNAcentral lists this ribosomal RNA (406 nucleotides) under uncultured bacterium. RNAcentral describes it as "bacterial SSU rRNA". It matches the Rfam family "Bacterial small subunit ribosomal RNA", at positions 976 to 1381 of the family's 1533-position model. The record is from RNAcentral.